Molecule: long non-coding RNA, 495 nt
Organism: Archocentrus centrarchus (flier cichlid)
Lineage: Eukaryota; Metazoa; Chordata; Actinopteri; Cichliformes; Cichlidae
Exons: 3
Source: RefSeq, a predicted model, not a curated record
GGUGCAUGUCUUUGCACUGUGGGAGGAGAGAACCCAAGCAGACACGAGGACAACAUGCAAACGCCAAACGGAAGGGCCUUAGCCAGCCUGUUUGAACCCAGGACCUUCUUGCUGUGAAGUGACAGUGCUAAUCACCACACCACUGUGCACCACAAAAGGAAGAGCUGGAAAUAACCAAGCCUGCAGGAUUACGCAGCAAGGACCGUGCCAUUCCAGCCUUUAAUUUCACAGGUGUGGAUGAAGACGAUGCAGCAAAAAUCCCCGAAAAGUUCUGAGCAGUCACAGAGUCACAGCUUCCCUCCACCCUGCAGCUGCUGAAAGGAAGAGGAGGUCUGGCGUUAGCAGGACCUGAGCUACUGGGAUAUAGAAACUAGUCCUGGCAGCUGACAGGUUUGAACAAAGAAAAGUUCAUUUAGAGCCAACGUUAUUUGUGAAAAUGCAUUAAGUUAUACCAUCAGUGACGCUUUUGCACAUCUCCUAGCAACAUUUGCUGCU